Molecule: unclassified non-coding RNA, 380 nt
Filed under: fungal sp.
Lineage: Eukaryota; Fungi
Description: partial internal transcribed spacer region
Rfam family: Eukaryotic small subunit ribosomal RNA (bases 1-46)
Source: RNAcentral
AAGUCGUAACAAGGUUUCCGUAGGUGAACCUGCGGAAGGAUCAUUAACACGUAUCCAACGUUAAACAACCCUGUGAACUUUCAGCCUGCUCUUGUAACCAUGAGGAACAGCAAUCCCGGUAAAUCAUUGCAAACAGUUUUGAUUCGGGACCUCUGUCCAAAAGGAGUUACAAUUGAGCGGUAGAGGCAGUGGCAUGGCUUCCCCAAGCAGUUAGUGAAUGACAGUGUCACUGAUUGUGUAAGGAUAACGCCUCACGGUUGCCAGAGGUCGAUCACCGACCGGCAGACUUAAUCACCCCAAUUUGAAAUUGCUCCUACCUGGUGGUAACGCACUGGGUCAAAAAAACCGAACAACUGUUAACAAUGGAUAUCUUGGUUCUC